RNAcentral lists this long non-coding RNA (705 nucleotides) under Mytilus galloprovincialis (Mediterranean mussel). Lineage: Eukaryota; Metazoa; Mollusca; Bivalvia; Mytilida; Mytilidae. The record is from RNAcentral.
AACCAGCUACUUCGAGGAAACGCCACAAACAGCAAAAUCACUUAAUCCUACUUACAUUGCCUAUAUUUCUUCAAGUCUUUCACUGUAGGCUGCUAAUCUUCUGUCCUCCUUGGUAGAAUUGGAAAUAAAAGAAAGUCAUUAUUAUUCAGAUUAAUGUACACAAAUCAAAACAUUUUUAUACACACAAUUUUUUUUAUUUAAACAUUUUCUCAUUGUUGAAGGACUUGUCUGUCAACUUGAAUAUGAAGAACAGCAAUAAAAUAAAAGGGUUUCUUUGUUGUAGACCAAGUAAAUUUGACAUUUUCCAUCUCUUAUUCUUCUAUUUUUUCCUGCUUCUUUAACAGGGACGUUAGAAAGGACCAAUGGAGCGUAUCUUUAGUUUGGCUGCAUCAUUUUUCCAUGUGGACUGCUUCCCAAAAAUGAAACCAGAUAAUCUCCAGAAAACUUCAGCAUGACAUCUCAAAGUCCCCUUCUACAGGCAUGGGCAGAAAGCCUGUAGCUGUCGUAGGCCGCUAGCGAACAUCUGAGGCCGCCCGUCCUCGCGAGUCUGCGACGUGGGCCAUUCUCAACAUCCAUGACUGUCGUCCCAUUUGGAGGUAACCAGCUACUUCGAGGAAACGCCACAAGCAGCAAAAUCACUUAAUCGUACUUACAUUGCCUAUAUUUCUUCAAGUCUUUCACUGUAGGCUGCUAAUCUUCUGUCCU